RNAcentral lists this ribosomal RNA (468 nucleotides) under uncultured bacterium. RNAcentral describes it as "partial 16S ribosomal RNA". It matches the Rfam family "Bacterial small subunit ribosomal RNA", at positions 28 to 507 of the family's 1533-position model. The record is from RNAcentral.
GACGAACGCUGGCGGCGUGCUUAACACAUGCAAGUCGAACGGAAAGGCCCUGCUUUUGUGGGGUGCUCGAGUGGCGAACGGGUGAGUAACACGUGAGUAACCUGCCCUUGACUUUGGGAUAACUUCAGGAAACUGGGGCUAAUACCGGAUAGGAGCUCCUGCUGCAUGGUGGGGGUUGGAAAGUUUCGGCGGUUGGGGAUGGACUCGCGGCUUAUCAGCUUGUUGGUUGGGUAGUGGCUUACCAAGGCUUUGACGGGUAGCCGGCCUGGGAGGGUGACCGGCCACAUUGGGACUGAGAUACGGCCCAGACUCCUACGGGAGGCAGCAGUGGGGAAUAUUGCACAAUGGGCGGAAGCCUGAUGCAGCAACGCCGCGUGCGGGAUGACGGCCUUCGGGUUGUAAACCGCUUUCGCCUGUGACGAAGCGUGAGUGACGGUAAUGGGUAAAGAAGCACCGGCUAACUACGUG